CACUGGUGGCGACCGGCGCACGGGUGAGUAACACGUGUGCAACCAACCCCGUACCGGGAGAUAACCCGCGGAAACGUGGACUAACAUCCCAUGAGACUCUAGAUCCGCAUGGCUCUAGAUUUAAAAUUCCGGUGGUACGGGACGGGCACGCGCGACAUUAGGUAGUUGGCGGGGUAAGGGCCCACCAAGCCGACGAUGUCUAGGGGUUCUGAGAGGAAGGUCCCCCACAUUGGAACUGAGACACGGUCCAA
RNAcentral lists this ribosomal RNA (251 nucleotides) under uncultured bacterium. RNAcentral's name for it is "partial 16S ribosomal RNA". It matches the Rfam family "Bacterial small subunit ribosomal RNA", at positions 83 to 334 of the family's 1533-position model. The record is from RNAcentral.